Molecule: ribosomal RNA, 253 nt
Filed under: uncultured bacterium
Lineage: Bacteria
Also listed under: 1 other name
Description: partial 16S ribosomal RNA
Rfam family: Bacterial small subunit ribosomal RNA
Source: RNAcentral
GACGAACCGUGCGAACGUUGUUCGGAAUCACUGGGCUUAAAGGGCGCGUAGGCGGGUGAUCAAGUCAGGGGUGAAAUCUUUCGGCUCAACCGGAAAACAGCUUCUGAUACUGGUCGUCUUGAGUGAGGUAGGGGCAUGUGGAACUUCCGGUGGAGCGGUGAAAUGCGUAGAUAUCGGAAGGAACGCCGGUGGCGAAAGCGACGUGCUGGACCUCUUCUGACGCUGAGGCGCGAAAGCUAGGGGAGCAAACGGG